This 1143-nucleotide small RNA is filed under the name Arabidopsis thaliana (thale cress). Its description in RNAcentral is "ATSL121300". Lineage: Eukaryota; Viridiplantae; Streptophyta; Magnoliopsida; Brassicales; Brassicaceae. The record is from RNAcentral.
UAACAAAGGGAAAAAUGUCAUUAAAAUCCUGAACUUUGCUAAAACGUUGAUUUAAAUCCCGUACUUUAUUUGAAACGAAAAAAACAUCGAACUUUUGUUGACUUUUCUAAUAAAUCUUAAACUUGUGUUGACCGCGCCAUUUUAGUCUUGUCGUUAUCUGGGUUAACAGACUUAAUUGACAGGGUUAAUUAGACGUUAACAGAGACAUAAUUUGCAAACGACACAGUUUCGGUUUUAGUAAACGACGUCGUUUUAUCAAAAAGACUGAACUUCCCCAAUUCGAUUUGAAAAAUCACGAGCCCUAAAAAACAAAAAUUCUCAAUUCUCUUUUGUCGAUCGAGGAAGAGAAAUUCGAAACUGUAAUGAUGAGAAAGAAGCUGCCUGCUGAUGUCGACCCGCCUCCUCCUGUUGUUGAGCCGCCUCAUGUUGUUGUCGAGCCUCCGUCUGCUUCUAUCGAGCCUCCGUCUGCUUCCAUAGAGCCUCCGUCUGUUGCUAUCGAGCCUCCGUCUGUUGCUGAGCUAUGACGUGCUUCUGUCGAGGCUCCUGCUGUUCACGAGCCUUCUACUAGGCCGUCUCAUUCUGUCGUUGACAAUAGGAGAAGAAAAAAAUCGAAACAGAAUGGUAACAGGUUAGAUGGUGACAAUAGAAGGAAAAAAUCGAAAAGGAGUAGAAGGAUGGAGAUCAUGGUUUGAGUGUUCAAACUUGACAUGAGAACAUCGAUUGGUCUUUGGUUGUUGGUAUUUGGAUUGUUUCAUAACUUGAGAUGUCUCUUUUGUUGUCUCUUUUGUUGUUUGAUUUUUGGUUCGGCAAGUUUUAAGACAUGUUGGUUAACUACUUUUAAUCACUCAUAGUUUUAAGACAAGUUUUUGUUUGAGUGAAAUUAUUCCAUCUCUUUACUCCGAUUCUCAUAUCAAGACCAAACACUCACACCGACCAAACACUCACACCUUAUAUCAAGACCAAACACUCACAUUCACCCAAGAAAAAUAAAGACCAAACACUCACAAGUUUUAUUAAGACAGCAACAAAGCCAACAUUACAAAGUCAUAAAAGUCACAAAUACUACAUUGUCAUUACAAGCUUGCCGAAGACAACAAGAUAGAUAGACCUACACUAUUAAGCAACAACAAAUUCAUUUUUUUU